This 2946-nucleotide long non-coding RNA is filed under the name Citrus x clementina. RNAcentral describes it as "Citrus clementina (C. clementina) long non-coding RNA (CCLE_LNC000954)". The record is from RNAcentral. Lineage: Eukaryota; Viridiplantae; Streptophyta; Magnoliopsida; Sapindales; Rutaceae.
ACAUCGAUCCCAAAAUAAACUACAUUUCACCAGCCGCAAAAUACUUGCACCAAAAAUCAAAGUCCGCCAAAACCACAGCUAAAAUCUUGAUGCAGCAACAAAAUCCAAAUUGAUAGUACCUGCAAACAAACAUAACACAGAUAACAAACUAUGGCAUGUUAAUAGUCUUUAAUGCCACCGUGCCAGAAUAUUCAUCCAAAUUAAAUUAAGAUGCACAAUCUAUUUUGAGAGGAUGAACAAAUUAUUCUAUGAAUCCAAUCUAUGGAAGCCCUACCUUAUGCUGCUCUAAGCCACACCAAGGUUCAACAUUGAUUAAACUUUUAUCACAACCAAUUGUGCAUGAUAUAAAGGAACAAGUUUGACAACAUAAUAAAAAUAAAGCUAACUCGUAAUAUAAAUAAGGCUAAGUCAAUGAGAAGUUUUUAUCAUCUUGGUAUAGACACUUUAUUGAAAUUUGUUACAGAGGAUAAUUUAUUUACAUAAUCUACUAGAGAAGCUUGUGCCGACUACAAUUAUUUAUAUAAAAGCUAGAUGAAAGCUAGACAGAAUGAGUUCUAGGUAAUUAUAGACAACAAGUAUUAUUGCAGUAUUUUGCUAAAUUAGAACAAAAAUUCACCUUUGUACAAUUAUGCCUAGACUUGAAACAAGAGCAUGCAUUGUGCAGGUAUGAAGGUCACGUGCAUUUGCCAUAGUCUUGACAAGUGACCUCUUCAAAGCAAAUGUAGCUGGGAUGUUUCGGGGGACAUGACACACAACAUGUAUGGCAACGAUUGGAGCAACAAACCGACAUAAGAACAGAUCAAAAAUUUUCCCUACUGAGAAUUCAUGUGCAUUAUCAAUUUAUAUAUAAUUCAUUGAAUUUCAUUUUAACAUGCAAUUUUUCAAAAAGAAAGUAAGUUUGAUCAGUGAAACUCAAACAAACAAAAGAUCACAUGCUGCAUUUAGUUUUGGGAAAUUUAAAAUUCAUUGAAAGACUAGAAAGCCAAUUAGGGGCAUGGAUGCCUUGCUAAAUAUGCUAGUUAUUUUUAAAAGGUUACAGCCUAAAAUGCAGGCUUAUAGCUAAUAAAGUUAAAGCUAAAGCAACUUUAAUUCAUAUGGAAAAUAAAUAAUUUUCAUGUUUAUGUCUGACAAGAAAGCGAAAGAGAGAGUAUAGACCAAAUAAUAUAAGGCUUGAAGUUUCUAGUUAGCAUAUUACUCAAUAUAAUGCUGCAGAAAUUUUAUUUACCUCUAAAGUACUUCUUGACAUGGCCAAUAUCAUAUUUGCCUACAGCUCCAAUUGACUCAAUCUCCAUCAUACUCUUCUUUUGUGUUGUCAUAUGACGAGUUGCACCCUGAGAACAAGUAAAAGAAGAUAUAGUCCCUUUUGAAGGGCAGACCUUGUCGGUUAAUGGAGAUGUGAGGAUUUGUAUACUGAGUAAGCAACGACCUGGAAAUUACCUUUCAAUAUCUAUAAUAUCACCAUUUCUCAAAGGUAAAAAGACACUGAUUGUAUCCUUGAAUUCACUCUCAUAGAUCCUUGAAUUCACUCUCAUAGCUUUCAUCUUUCUUCCUAUAAUAGACAGAAACCAAUAAUCACUUGUCGAUGAUUAAGCAAAAUAUAACUACCAUUUAGCAUAGAGAUCAACCCAUUAGUUUAGGGAUAUUGACAGAGGAAGGGAACCACAAUUUAAUGCCUCUUGCACCAACAACAGCACCCAAGUAAAACAUAUUGAAUUUUUUUAAGAUAUAAGAAUAAACUUCAAACUACAAAUAAGGGUCAAAAGGAUGAAAUUGAAGAUUAACAAGAUGAAACAGAGACACAGGCAUAUGGAAAUAACUAACAUGUAAUGACCACAGAUUAAACCUUGGUUGAUUCCACCAAUUACCAAAAAGAUCAUAUUCCACUGAAACUAUAAAAAAUGCUUAAGAGUUAAAAUCUAAAUGUAAAAUCACAAAUAACAGUAAAUUUUUACUACCCGUAAAGAAAAUGGUCCCUAGAUAGUGCUAAUGACACAUAAUCUAUAAGCGUCCCUAAGUAACAAGAACCAUUAGUAAAGGUUGUAUUACUAUCAUCAAGCAUAACUAUACUGUAUUAGAUUUACACAUCAUAGGGGUAUACAAUACAAGCAUCUCUUACAACUGAUAAAAGUUAAUAAUAAGAAACAAAAAGAAUAAAAUUCAUCAUUUUCUAAGAAAACUCAUAGCUAUAUUCCUCUUACAGAUUACAGAACCUUACAAGAAUAGUUAACUACUAGAUGCAGCUUAGUUUCUUCAUGCUAAGUCAAAUUCUUAUUGAGUUAACCCACCAACUCAUAAUCCAACUCUCACCUUCGUGCCUCUUUAGUCAAAUCAGAAAAGACCUGCAAAAAUUAAUCAAUUAAUUAUAGUUGCAUUGAUUCCAAUUUUAAAGCUAAUCAAUUUUAGAAAUCCACUAACUUAUUUUCCUUACAUUUUAGAAUUAAAAUAAAAUAACAAAAACUAAUCAAACAAGCGAAAGCAAACCAACCUAACGGGCAGCCAAUACAUUGAAGCCACUAGGAUUUCUUUGCAAAUCUUUGAUCAAAGCAAAAGCAACCUUCUCAUCUCCCUUGCUUGGCUCCCUUUCUUAAAAAUUAGAAGUCUAUUUGCUAUCAACAACGUUCAUAGGCACGGCAACAACAAGCGUUCUUUGAGAGAGCGAUUUACAGUUAUUGAGGCUGCGAUUGUGGUUUUUUGCUGUAACUUCAUUCAUGGUGACUGUAGAUGUGAGCAUUUACCUAGGUCGAUUGCGAGUGGCUGUGGCCUUAUGUGGAUUAACGGUGGCUGUGGCCUUAUGUGGAUUAACGGUGGCUGUGAGGACGCUAGGGUUUCAAGUGGUUUUGUGAGAGAAGAGUUCAGUGAGAGAGUGUGUGGUGGCCUCAACACUUAGAAAAAAAGAUCGAGGGUAUCUUUUUAAUUUAAACUCUUUAUGUUUAUUUUUAAUUUAUA